GGAUCUGCUUUCUGUUUGCAGACUGGACAAACUGACCAAGCGUGCCGGCUCUGUGGUCGGCAUGAAGCUGGACUCUCUGGUGACGGUGGCAGAGGCGAGGACACUG
This is a long non-coding RNA of Xiphophorus couchianus (Monterrey platyfish), 106 nucleotides long. RefSeq lists it as uncharacterized. The transcript is spliced from 3 exons. The record is from RefSeq and is a predicted model, not a curated record. Lineage: Eukaryota; Metazoa; Chordata; Actinopteri; Cyprinodontiformes; Poeciliidae.